UAGGGAAUUUUCGUCAAUGGGCGCAAGCCUGAACGAGCGAUGCCGCGUGAGUGAAGAAGGCCUUCGGGUCGUAAAGCUCUGUUGACGGGGGAAAAAAGGCAGCAUCAGGAAAUGGGUGCUGACUGAUGGUGCCCCGCCAGAAAGUCACGGCUAACUACGUGCC
Molecule: ribosomal RNA, 163 nt
Filed under: uncultured bacterium
Lineage: Bacteria
Description: partial 16S ribosomal RNA
Rfam family: Bacterial small subunit ribosomal RNA
Source: RNAcentral